UCCCUCGUGGCUCAGACGGUAAAGCGUCUGCCUGCAAUGCGGGAGACCCGGGUUCGAUUCCUGGGUCGGGAA
This 72-nucleotide transfer RNA is filed under the name Bos taurus (domestic cattle). It matches the Rfam family "tRNA". Rfam says of the family: Transfer RNA (tRNA) molecules are approximately 80 nucleotides in length. Their secondary structure includes four short double-helical elements and three loops (D, anti-codon, and T loops). Further hydrogen bonds mediate the characteristic L-shaped molecular structure. tRNAs have two regions of fundamental functional importance: the anti-codon, which is responsible for specific mRNA codon recognition, and the 3' end, to which the tRNAs corresponding amino acid is attached (by aminoacyl-tRNA synthetases). tRNAs cope with the degeneracy of the genetic code in two manners: having more than one tRNA (with a specific anti-codon) for a particular amino acid; and 'wobble' base-pairing, i.e. permitting non-standard base-pairing at the 3rd anti-codon position. RNAcentral also lists the same sequence under 2 other names. The record is from Rfam by way of RNAcentral. Lineage: Eukaryota; Metazoa; Chordata; Mammalia; Artiodactyla; Bovidae.